UGCAAAUGUCCUCAUAGGUACUUGUGCCCCUUCAGACCAAGACACUGCAUACCGAUUUUCAAGUCGAUCGAGCCAACGGUUGCCUAGUUAUAGCAAUUUAUGUGUUUUUUCUAUCUUAUAGCGCCCCCAAGUGGCAGAGAUGCGCAAUUUUUUUGAUUUGACCGAAGAUUGAGCUCAUACAUAUGUGUUCCGAGUUUGGUGAAGAUAUCUCAUUCCGUUCAAGAGUUAUAGUCAAAAUAGCAUUUGGCUAACGUUAGCAUAGACGCUUUUUGGUGUACUGUUUCGCGUAAGAAUUGAAAUUUCAACUUUUUUUUUGAUAAUUAUUGAUAUUGAGUGUCCAGGGAAUAUUUAUGAAGUGGUUUGGUUCUGAUUGGUUGAAAAUCCUAGGACUAGUUCGCAAAAGUAGGUUUCGGAUAUAGCUCGAUUUUGCGAGAAAACGGUGCGUCGUAGACCCCAAAAAGGCGCCGUACACUUUUGUUCGGGCUAACCCAAGGAUUGCAACAAUGCCAUGUUUUUGAGUCUACGGCUAACGGUUUACGAUUUACGGCCAAAAAUGUCCAAAAUUUUAGUUUUUUGCGCUGUAGCGCCCCCGUUAGGCCGAUUGGGUCGAGACUCGGUAUCUGACAAGAAGGCCGGACUACUACAUUCUGACCAAAUUUCAGCUUUCUAGGCCUUACGGUUUGGGCUGCACGAACAGUUUGAGUGGAGAAUAAUAAUAAUAAUAAUAAUAAUAAUAAUAAUUAAAGCUGCAAGCAGCAUUUACGGGGUUCAAGCACAUUAAGGCCUCUGAGGUGGUCUGAGCCAACCUGGACGUAUGGAUGACCGUUAAACACAUCCAAUAUGGAGAAUAGGCUGACAGACAGACACACGCACUGAAAUUAAAUGAUUAAACUAGUUUUUAAGAGUUUGGAUGUCAUUUUCAGGUUUCACUGUAAUCAUAAUGUGGCAAAAUUUUAAAAACUGAUAAGUCUGUAUGAAGAAAAUUGAAAACUUUAACAGUGAGAUUUAAAACGUUGCAACAGUGGGUUUUUUUAUUGUUUGGGCAUGAAUUCAUAAAUCUUUUCAAAAGUACUGUUUCAAUUUGCAGAAUGAGCCCAUUAGUGGUCUUCCGCUGCCAUCUAGUGGUUAUAAAUUGCAUUUACUCAAACAACACUGUUUUUAAACAUAACUGUUAUAGUAUAGUGUUAUGUUUUUUGCCCAAUCUCUCUUAAAUUUUACAUACUUGUUUAGGAUGAAAUUAGGCAUUAUUUUACACAGUUUUGAUAAUUUGUGGGCUUUCUGUUUGUAUUAAUAGGCCUUUGUGUACACUAUGAAAAGAACAUAUUAUAAAAUUACUGGUUUAUAGUUGUCCAAAUAAAAUUGUUCAACAUGUUUUUGAUAAUUAUUGACCUUCAGAGUCUAGAGAAUUGUACUUCAGUGGUUUUAUUGAUUUAAUUUUCAGCUUAAAGCCUUGGACUACUUUGCCAAAGUAACUUUUUUAAAUAAUCUUCAAUAUUUAAUUAACAGCUUUAUUGACAACAUUGGUCCCAGAAGUUGUUCAGAAUGAGGAGAUCUAUCAUAUGAUAUGAAGAUCUAGUGUUUAUGUGAAUAUAUGAGCAUUUUCAGACAAUUUGAGGCCAUUUACCAUGUAAAUCUUAUGUUUUGAGACCUUUUCUACUGUUAUAGCGCCACCUAUGGUCCGAUCUCCAUGAAAAUUUGCAUGGUUGUUAAGGGUCAGCUGUUACAUGUUUUCAUCAAGUUUCAUAAAGUUUUGAGUUUUCGUUUAGGUUUUAUAUGCUUUUGGGUAUUUUGGUCACGCCCCUUUUCUAAUUUAGCCAGUUAUAGCUAACCAAAGGACAAAAUUCUGAAAAAAUUUUGAUAAUUAUUGAUCUAGAGAGUCCAGAGAAAAUUACUGCAGUGGUUUGGUUUCGAUCGGGUAAAAAACCUGGGACUAGUUCGCAAAAGUAGCUUGUUGACAUAUUUGUGAAUUGCAAUUGAACGAUUUGAUUGACAUCUUCGCUCCUUGAGGCAAAGUUGUUCACAAAGAGGAGAUCUAUCAUAUGAUAUGAAGAUCUAGUGUUUGUGUGAAUGUAUGAACAUGUCCAACAAAUUGUGAUCAUUUUCUAUUGAAAAUGUGUGUUUUUGAGGCUUUUUCAAAUGUUAUAGCGCCACCUAUGAUCCGAUCUCCAUGACACUUUGCAUGCUUGUUAAGAGUCACCUGUUACAUGUUCUCACCGAGUUUCAUAAAGUUUUGAGUUUUCGUUUAGGUUUUAUAGGCUUUGGGGUAUGUUUGGCCACACCCCUUUUUCUAUAUUACCCCUUUACAGCUAACCAAAGGACAAAAUUCAACAUUUUUUUAAUAAUUAUUGAUCUAGAGAGUCCACAGAAUAUUACUGCAGUGGUUUGGUUCCGAUCGGACAAAAAACCAAGGACUAGUUCGCAAAAGUAGGUUUUUAACAUAUUUGUAAAUAACAAUUGAACGAUUUGAUUGACAGCAAUGGUUCUUGAGGCAAAGUUGUGCAUUAUGAGGAGAUCUAUCAAAUGAUAUGCAUAUUGUGUUGAUAUGUGAAACACCACGUGAUUACAGAGCCAUAAAACUCGUUAGCGCCAACUAGUGGCCGAUUUCUUUCAAAAUUCUUACAGACCUUAAGGUUCAUGAGUCGAACGUACCCAGCGAGUUUCGUUCCGAUCAACAUCCGUUAACCCUUUCAAAUAGGUGCUUAAAUUUGUUUGGCCAAUGGCGGCCAUGUUUUUUUGAGAUAUGCAAAUGUCCUCAUAGGUACUUGUGCCCCUUCAGACCAAGACACUGCAUACCGAUUUUCAAGUCGAUCGAGCCAACGGUUGCCUAGUUAUAGCCAUUUAUGUGUUUUUUCUAUC
Long non-coding RNA from Carassius gibelio (silver crucian carp), 2856 nucleotides. RefSeq lists it as uncharacterized. The transcript is spliced from 4 exons. The record is from RefSeq and is a predicted model, not a curated record. Lineage: Eukaryota; Metazoa; Chordata; Actinopteri; Cypriniformes; Cyprinidae.